GUCUCAAUUGACGCAAAAGGCUGCAAUCCAUCUCCCAUUUCACAUUUCACAUUUCACAUUUUUUCUUUGGGUUUGUUGGUUGGAACGGGUCUCGUCUCGUCUCAGCCCCACACACACACACCACUCACUCACUCACUCACUUCUAUCAUCCCUCGCCGCACUCUCUCCUCUGUAACCGUAACUUCUGAAUCUGAAUCUGAACCGAUCUCGCUACGUGUCAUCGCCGCUGCAUCACUACGUGUUGCAUGCCUAACCACCAAGGCCACCACCACCUCCUCCAUCCUCACAAUGAAUGAAGAGAGAGAAUAGAGAGAGGGAAUACGGUUGGACUUUGGAGUCUGUGGUUCUUGUCUUUUCAUCUUUCCUUUUCUCCUUCUUAAUCCCUGCUUUCUUCCUCCUUUUUUUUCCUGUUUAUGCAGGAAACCCUAAUUUCUGAAAUCUUCUAAUAAUUGUCUCUUAAAACAAGAAUACGCUGUGUGGAUCAAGGACAUUUUCGUUUUCUUCUAUUCUUAUCCGUUAAUGCUUCAGAUCUGUUUCGAUAAUGAAAGUAAUAGAACAGAUGUUAUGUAUAUUCUUUGUGUGAGGGUUUCCAAAUUUGGGCAUGUUUUGCAGCCUGGGCUCUUGAUUAUUUAUUUUCUCUUGGAACAUAGAAAUUGACAGAAGAGAGUGAGCACACAGAAGCACUCGUUAUAAUUCUAUACCGUUGCUCUUGCGUGCUCACUUCUCCUUCUGUCAGCUUCCAGUGCCGGAAAAAUGAAAAUCACCGCCCGUGUGAUCUGCAUCUGCAUCUGCCUCUGCUUCGUUCCAAACCCCCAAACCCAAAAUCUAACCCUCUCUUUCUUUCUCUCUCGACAUUUUGGCGGAGCAAGCAGACCAGCGACCAUCACUGACUACUGCGCCAGGUUAUAUCAUUAUCAAACAGUGAAAAAAAGGAAGAAGCUUUUGUUUGUUUCUUUCUUUAGCCCUUGUUUUUAUUUUUAUCUCUUUACUGUUUCUUUCAAUUUUGUUAUUUUAAUCAUUGCUCGUGGUUCCAUUAGUAAUUUUUAUAAAUUAUCUUUGUUGUUAUCAAACGGAAAAGCGUGACUUUUGAUGCAAUAGCCCUAUUUCCUUGCCAGGAUCAACGAACCCCCAACAUUUUAAAAUUAAUAUUAAUAAAUAUAUUUAUACUAACACUUCCCCUUUUAUCUUGUUUUUUAUAACAUUGAUAUAUAGCAGUACAUAGCAUGGAGCCAUUUCACGUCACAUAGCAUGGUCCUCACCAAUUUUUUCUCCUUGCUUCAAUGGACAUCACAAUUAUGCUGAUUUCGUCCCUUUCCAUAUAUUUAUUUUUGCUAGAUCUUGUGCAUGCCAGUGGUUCCCUUACUCGGUAACUGUUACUGUUUCUAACUUUCUUCUUGUUGGUUAUGUGUUUGUUCUUUCCUGCAACUCAACGUUAUGAUGCAUAGAUUCUGGUUUCAUUGUAUUCUUGGACAAUAAGAAUUUCAAAAGGGGUGUUUCUUUUCUGUUCUUAAUAUUUAUUGCUUUUUUUUUAGUUUAUCCUUUUCUUUUUUGAAAUAUUAUUUGUGGUUUAUGAUCUGAUAAACCCUAUCUACCUAACUCUACAGUUGCUUGUUUUGUGUCUGUGACUGACCAAAUUGUUUGACUAUAUGAGCAUCCUUUUAAUCAUCAAUUCAAGGAGCAAUAAAUAUGGUUUUGGAAGUUCAGUUUUUUUCCCUCUCUGGUGUAUUGUGAUAUGAUGUAACAAUAAUAAUAUGCUGGCCGAGUAAAAUUAUUGGGAUUUCUCUUGAUAUUGAUUGAUUUUUAUGCAUACAAAAGCUGCAGCCGGCCUGUACUUUUUCUUCUUUGAUGCAGAUGAUAAAUAUGGGCAUAGACUUGGAUUGUUCGUACACUUCUUCCUUGUAGAGAUAACGUGCUGUCCGACCCAUAAGCAUGUUAAAAUGUUGGAAAACAAGAAUCAUUAUACCAAUGUGAAAUCAAUGUCUUGAAAUCGAGCAUUAACAAUCUCCAUAGGAUUCUUUUCACAUAUAUUAUUAUCAUCUUUCGGUGGAGACAAUAUAUGCACUCCCACCAGCAAAAAGACAGUAAAGAGAUUAAAUAGGGCUUUGUUGGAGAAAUGCACCUUCUGAAAUCAUUAUUCUGAAGCAUGAAUGGAGAUUAAAUUUAUAUUUCUAGCAAUGGAUACUAUUCAAUCUAUGAUAGCUGUUGAUCAGCCAACAACAGGUCCCUCCAAAAUUGCAUCCACUUAAUUUUUCAACUUUUGAACCGACCUUUGAUGGAGACAAUAUAUACACUCCCACCAGCAAGAUGACGGUUUGAAAGCUAAUAUCCUAGAUGGUGGAACAGGUUGCCGUGUUGGAAAAGGGCUCCAAUUGAUAGGUACGAGAUUCCGGGGAAAUUUUUCUGGACAGGCAAUGGUUUCAACUGAAUCUUCUUUGAAGCUCCUAGUAGCGAGUAUAUUAAAAUUUAACUUGUCAUUAUGUUUGCUUUUGUGUUAUGUCAUAUGUGAUAAAUAGUGCUAUUAUGUAUAUACAAGCUUUCUCAAUUUUGUAUUCUCUCCUCUAACCUUGUCAGGGUAUCAAAUUGUGCAAAUUAAUAGCUACUAUCUAUGUAAACCACUAAACCAACCAGAAAAAGGAUAAUACUAUCUAUUUCUCGGUAGAAUAUAAUCAUAUUGAAGUAAAAACAUAUAUAGGCCACUUUUCCUUAAGACACCAAAUUAAAUAUUGAGGACUAAACGUAUACUUAAUUAGGCCUAGCCCUUGAUCAUCUUUAUAUAGUAUAUUAGGAUGAAUGCAGUUGCUUUGUACCUAGCUUUCUGACUUAAAAGAAGGCCAUUUUUGGUGAGUUUGAUGGGGAAAAUGUGACUUACAUGCAAUUAUUACACACAAUUUCCCCUUUCAUAUAUCCCAAAACAACCAUACCAUAUAUAAAAAAUUAGUCAGUUAUUUGUAUAAAAUAUAUGUUAAAAUAUAAAAUAUAAAUUAAAAAUAAAUUAAAUGACACAUGUAUUUAGUAUUUAUAUAAAUAGUGAUUGAUUUUUGUUGUGCACAUCACAUUUUUAGUACUGAAAAUAUUCAUAGACAAUAAUAUAUAGUAUGUUUGAUUUGGAAAUUAGAACGGGAUGAAAACAUUCAUAGAUACAAAAUUACAAUUAGCUAUAAAAAUUGUUACACAUUUUUUAUGCCAUUGUUAUAUAUGAUCUCACAUUGAAUA
Arachis duranensis is the source of this 3213-nucleotide long non-coding RNA. RefSeq lists it as uncharacterized. The transcript is spliced from 4 exons. The record is from RefSeq and is a predicted model, not a curated record. Lineage: Eukaryota; Viridiplantae; Streptophyta; Magnoliopsida; Fabales; Fabaceae.